CUCUAUCCAGGUCUGUGGUUGCGGUUUUUCCUAGUCCAAGGCAGAUGCGGUCAAAAGGAUCCACGUAAGUUAUCGGUUUUCCGAAACGAGCAUGGCGCAUCCUAGAGGUAAGACGUACCGUUCGGGUUUUAUGCAACAUAGGGUUGCACGAACGAGAGGACGACGUCCGCUUUGCGGGCUUGGUUCCAGUAUGCGAGUGUGGGGUCAAAGACCAGGUCAGCUGGAAGAG
Molecule: regulatory RNA element, 229 nt
Organism: Eggerthella sp. CAG:209
Lineage: Bacteria; Bacillati; Actinomycetota; Coriobacteriia; Eggerthellales; Eggerthellaceae
Rfam family: raiA RNA
Source: Rfam